This 297-nucleotide ribosomal RNA is filed under the name uncultured bacterium. RNAcentral's name for it is "partial 16S ribosomal RNA". It matches the Rfam family "Bacterial small subunit ribosomal RNA", at positions 330 to 628 of the family's 1533-position model. The record is from RNAcentral.
CCCCGCCUACGGGACGCAGCAGUGAGGAAUAUUGGUCAAUGGCCGGGAGGCUGAACCAGCCAAGUCGCGUGAGGGAAGACGGCCCUACGGGUUGUAAACCUCUUUUGUCAGGGAGCAAGGUGCAGGUCGGGACCUGCUGUGAGAGUACCUGAAGAAAAAGCAUCGGCUAACUCCGUGCCAGCAGCCGCGGUAAUACGGAGGAUGCGAGCGUUAUCCGGAUUUAUUGGGUUUAAAGGGUGCGCAGGCGGAGGCACAAGUCAGCGGUAAAAUGGCGGGGCUCAACCCCGCCCCGCCGUU